This 302-nucleotide ribosomal RNA is filed under the name uncultured bacterium. Its description in RNAcentral is "partial 16S ribosomal RNA". It matches the Rfam family "Bacterial small subunit ribosomal RNA", at positions 508 to 807 of the family's 1533-position model. The record is from RNAcentral.
GCAGUCGCCGCGGUAAUACGAAGGGGGCUAGCGUUGUUCGGAUUUACUGGGCGUAAAGCGCACGUAGGCGGACUUUUAAGUCAGGGGUGAAAUCCCGGGGCUCAACCCCGGAACUGCCUUUGAUACUGGAAGUCUUGAGUAUGGUAGAGGUGAGUGGAAUUCCGAGUGUAGAGGUGAAAUUCGUAGAUAUUCGGAGGAACACCAGUGGCGAAGGCGGCUCACUGGACCAUUACUGACGCUGAGGUGCGAAUGCGUGGGGAGCAAACAGGAUUAGAUACCCCUGUAGUCCCUGUCUCUUAUAC